This 1369-nucleotide ribosomal RNA is filed under the name uncultured bacterium. RNAcentral's name for it is "bacterial SSU rRNA". It matches the Rfam family "Bacterial small subunit ribosomal RNA", at positions 28 to 1381 of the family's 1533-position model. The record is from RNAcentral.
GACGAACGCUGGCGGCGUGCCUAAUACAUGCAAGUAGAACGCUGAAGAGAGGAGCUUGCUCUUCUUGGAUGAGUUGCGAACGGGUGAGUAACGCGUAGGUAACCUGCCUUGUAGCGGGGGAUAACUAUUGGAAACGAUAGCUAAUACCGCAUAACAAUGGAUGACACAUGUCAUUUAUUUGAAAGGGGCAAUUGCUCCACUACAAGAUGGACCUGCGUUGUAUUAGCUAGUAGGUGAGGUAACGGCUCACCUAGGCGACGAUACAUAGCCGACCUGAGAGGGUGAUCGGCCACACUGGGACUGAGACACGGCCCAGACUCCUACGGGAGGCAGCAGUAGGGAAUCCUCGGCAAUGGGGGCAACCCUGACCGAGCAACGCCGCGUGAGUGAAGAAGGUUUUCGGAUCGUAAAGCUCUGUUGUAAGUCAAGAACGAGUGUGAGAGUGGAAAGUUCACACUGUGACGGUAGCUUACCAGAAAGGGACGGCUAACUACGUGCCAGCAGCCGCGGUAAUACGUAGGUCCCGAGCGUUGUCCGGAUUUAUUGGGCGUAAAGCGAGCGCAGGCGGUUUGAUAAGUCUGAAGUUAAAGGCUGUGGCUCAACCAUAGUUCGCUUUGGAAACUGUCAAACUUGAGUGCAGAAGGGGAGAGUGGAAUUCCAUGUGUAGCGGUGAAAUGCGUAGAUAUAUGGAGGAACACCGGUGGCGAAAGCGGCUCUCUGGUCUGUAACUGACGCUGAGGCUCGAAAGCGUGGGGAGCGAACAGGAUUAGAUACCCUGGUAGUCCACGCCGUAAACGAUGAGUGCUAGGUGUUGGAUCCUUUCCGGGAUUCAGUGCCGCAGCUAACGCAUUAAGCACUCCGCCUGGGGAGUACGACCGCAAGGUUGAAACUCAAAGGAAUUGACGGGGGCCCGCACAAGCGGUGGAGCAUGUGGUUUAAUUCGAAGCAACGCGAAGAACCUUACCAGGUCUUGACAUCCCGAUGCUAUUUCUAGAGAUAGAAAGUUACUUCGGUACAUCGGUGACAGGUGGUGCAUGGUUGUCGUCAGCUCGUGUCGUGAGAUGUUGGGUUAAGUCCCGCAACGAGCGCAACCCCUAUUGUUAGUUGCCAUCAUUCAGUUGGGCACUCUAGCGAGACUGCCGGUAAUAAACCGGAGGAAGGUGGGGAUGGCGUCAAAUCAUCAUGCCCCUUAUGACCUGGGCUACACACGUGCUACAAUGGUUGGUACAACGAGUUGCGAGUCGGUGACGGCAAGCUAAUCUCUUAAAGCCAAUCUCAGUUCGGAUUGUAGGCUGCAACUCGCCUACAUGAAGUCGGAAUCGCUAGUAAUCGCGGAUCAGCACGCCGCGGUGAAUACGUUCCCGGGCCU